GUGCUGAAGUUAACGCAUUAAGCACUCCGCCUGGGGAGUACGGCCGCAAGGCUGAAACUCAAAGGAAUUGACGGGGGCCCGCACAAGCGGGGGAGCAUGGGGUUUAAUUCGAAGCAACGCGAAAAACCUUACCAGGUCUUGACAUCCUCUGAAAACCCUAGAGAUAGGGCUUCUCCUUCGGGAGCAGAGUGACAGGUGGUGCAUGGUUGUCGUCAGCUCGUGUCGUGAGAUGUUGGGUUAAGUCCCGCAACGAGCGCAACCCUUGAUCUUAUUUGCCAUCAUUAAGUUGGGCACUCUAAGGUGACUGCCGGUGACAAACCGGAGGAAGGUGGGGAUGACGUCAAAUCAUCAUGCCCCUUAUGACCUGGGCUACACACGUGCUACAAUGGACGGUACAAAGAGCUGCAAGACCGCGAGGUGGAGCUAAUCUCAUAAAACCGUUCUCAGUUCGGAUUGUAGGCUGCAACUCGCCUACAUGAAGCUGGAAUCGCUAGUAAUCGCGGAUCAGCAUGCCGCGGUGAAUACGUUCCCGGGCCUUGUACACACCGCCCGUCACACCACGAGAGUUUGUAACACCCGAAGUCGGUGGGGUAACCUUUUUGGAGCCAGCCGCCUAAGGUGGGACAGAUGAUUGGGGUGAAGUCGUACAAAGGGGAAA
RNAcentral lists this ribosomal RNA (658 nucleotides) under Bacillus sp. (in: firmicutes). RNAcentral's name for it is "bacterial SSU rRNA". It matches the Rfam family "Bacterial small subunit ribosomal RNA", at positions 843 to 1501 of the family's 1533-position model. Lineage: Bacteria; Bacillati; Bacillota; Bacilli; Caryophanales; Bacillaceae. The record is from RNAcentral.